UAGGGAAUCUUCGGCAAUGGGGGGAACCCUGACCGAGCAACGCCGCGUGAGUGAAGAAGGUUUUCGGAUCGUAAAGCUCUGUUGUUAAGGAAGAACGAGUGUGAGAAUGGAAAGUUCAUACUGUGACGGUACUUAACCAGAAAGGGACGGCUAACUACGUGCCAGCAGCCGCGGUAAUACGUAGGUCCCGAGCGUUGUCCGGAUUUAUUGGGCGUAAAGCGAGCGCAGGCGGUUAGAAAAGUCUGAAGUGAAAGGCAGUGGCUCAACCAUUGUAGGCUUUGGAAACUGUUUAACUUGAGUGCAGAAGGGGAGAGUGGAAUUCCAUGAGUAGCGGUGAAAUGCGUGGAUAUAUGGAGGAACACCGGUGGCGAAAGCGGCUCUCUGGUCUGUAACUGACGCUGAGGCUCGAAAGCGUGGGGAGCGAACAGG
This 429-nucleotide ribosomal RNA is filed under the name Bacteroidota bacterium. RNAcentral's name for it is "Bacteroidetes bacterium partial 16S ribosomal RNA". It matches the Rfam family "Bacterial small subunit ribosomal RNA", at positions 355 to 776 of the family's 1533-position model. The record is from RNAcentral. Lineage: Bacteria; Pseudomonadati; Bacteroidota.